RNAcentral lists this ribosomal RNA (278 nucleotides) under uncultured bacterium. RNAcentral's name for it is "partial 16S ribosomal RNA". It matches the Rfam family "Bacterial small subunit ribosomal RNA", at positions 29 to 334 of the family's 1533-position model. The record is from RNAcentral.
AACGAACGUUGGCGGCAUGCCUAACACAUGCAAGUCGAACGAGACCUUCGGGUCUAGUGGCGCACGGGUGCGUAACGCGUGGGAAUCUGCCCUUGGGUUCGGAAUAACUCGCCGAAAGUCGUGCUAAUACCGGAUGAUGUCGUAAGACCAAAGAUUUAUCGCCCAGGGAUGAGCCCGCGUAAGAUUAGGUAGUUGGUGGGGUAAAGGCUCACCAAGCCGACGAUCUUCAGCUGGUCUGAGAGGGUGAUCGGCCACAUUGGGACUGAGACACGGCCCAA